AGCGAACGCUGGCGGCAGGCCUAACACAUGCAAGUCGAACGCACCUUCGGGUGAGUGGCGGACGGGUGAGUAACACGUGGGAACGUACCUUUUGGUUCGGAAUAACGCAGGGAAACUUGUGCUAAUACCGAAUGUGCCCUUCGGGGAAAGAUUUAUCGCCAUUAGAGCGGCCCGCGUUAGAUUAGCUAGUUGGUGGAAGG
Molecule: ribosomal RNA, 200 nt
Filed under: uncultured bacterium
Lineage: Bacteria
Description: partial 16S ribosomal RNA
Rfam family: Bacterial small subunit ribosomal RNA
Source: RNAcentral